AAACUCCACUGUCAUAACAUCCAGUCUCCCAGCCAGAGCACGGAGCAGAGCCUCAAAACUAGACAAAUUAUCAUCAAUUUACAAAUAAAGAAAAUGUUAAAAAAGAAAUCCCUUAUCUGAAAAUUAUCGCAGAAGUCUCCGUCUGAGACAAACAGAACUGAGGAAGCGUCAUCAAGACCAAAGAUCUGUUGGUUGACCACCGUGGACCACAUAUAUCUGGACACAUCACUUCAGGAACCUUGCUCCACAGAUCUAAGGAAGGAAAAAGGAGGAAGCAUUUACAAGGGAUGAGGAGUGGAGACUGCUGAGCCAAGCUGCCUACAGUGUGUGACAGGGAUGCGGCUUCCGGGAGUCUGCACCAGUGUUCGGUGGAUGUAGUCACCUUGUUCUCCACGCUCUUCAGCUUACAUAGUAUCCUCCAGAACAACGAGAGCUAAACUUCGGGUAGAAGACUUCCAG
Molecule: long non-coding RNA, 459 nt
Organism: Nannospalax galili (Upper Galilee mountains blind mole rat)
Lineage: Eukaryota; Metazoa; Chordata; Mammalia; Rodentia; Spalacidae
Exons: 5
Source: RefSeq, a predicted model, not a curated record